AUGGCAACCUGCUCCAGUGUUCUUGCCUGGAGAAUCCCAGGGACGGUGGAGCCUGAUGGGCUGCCGUCUCGGGUCGCACAGAGUUGGACACAACUGAAGCGACUUAGCAGCAGUAGCAGCAGCAGACUCAAAUUUUCAGAAUUUAUGUACUGUGAAUCUCUAAAUGGGAAUAUUAAUUAUUGGGUUUGUUCCUUAUACUUCUUUGGCCACAGAGCAAUCCUAUCUGCAUCUUUUUUUUUUUUUUUUUUUAAGUAACAUCCUCUUAAACCAGUAGUCCAGGAAGUAAGCUAGAUUUACAAUACAUGUAUUCUCUUUUGAUGCAACUGUCACAAUGACCAGCCAUUCCAUCCUUGUCAUACAGCAAGAGUUGGUAUGCACCCAAGCACUUCACAGGAUCUGCUUUGAAGCAGUGGUUAGUGUGAUGCCUACAGGUACGUUAUGUGAUCUCUGCAUCUCCAUGGUAACCUCAUUUCUCCAAGACCACUUCCUCUUGACUGAUCUUUUUUCUGUAAUCUCACUGGUUUCCCUUCUAUUUUUCCCCCUUCUGAGACAUGUUCUCUAUUCAUUAACCAUCACAGGAUUUUAAAAAUCUACAGCAGAGCACGUUACCCACCUUGAAAUAAUUUCCCAUUAUGGCUUCCCAAAAUCUUCACCAGGAGUAUGAGGUUCAAUGAUCAAGUUCUUGCUUUUUUUCCUGGCAUCAUCUAAUACCAACUUUACUUUUGUUUGCAAUGCCACAAUCAACUUGUCCCUUUCUUCUCUUCCUUGAACAUGAGGAGCCUCUCCUAAGCUUAAGGACCUCUGCUCUUGCUGGUGUCUUUCUAUAUCCUUUGUCCCUGAGUCAUCAACUGGCUGAUUAGUUCUUUCCCUUUAGGUCUCUUCCGAUGUCAGCUUCCUAGAAUAUUUUCCUAAUCUGAUCUGUGCUGCAUACCCCUAGUUUACUUUCUUCAAAGUGCAUUACUGAAAUUACUUUUGUUAACUGUUUACCAUCUGUCUCCUCUACAAGGGUUUCAAUUGUGUCAUUUAUUCCUAAAACGUCAGUUCCUAGGAUAAUUUCUGGCACACAGUAGGUAUUCCACAGAUACUUGUUAAAUAAAUGAAUGAAUACAAUGACAACUCUUUCCCUUCUGGGGUUCUCAGCAUAUGGGCACCCUUCCAAAACAGAACAUAGCUUAUUAUGUUUAUAUGUAGCAAAAUAUGUACAUUAAUAUAUACGAAUAUUUUAACAAUUAUUAGGUAUUUUAUGUGUGAAAAGCUAAGCAAGGUUUUGCUAUCAUCUGAAAUAUUUUUCUUUCAAGAAUGAUUAUUAUUUUAAGAACAUCUCAGUUCAAAAGUUAUCAGAAGGUGUUAUUUUGUAAACAAUAGACCAAGAAAGGCAUGAUUCACAGUGCCCUGUCCUGCAGCCCAGGUUACCAAGGUCUCCAUCAACACAUGCCACUCACUCUGCAUGAUCUGAGGCAAGUCGCUUCUUUGCUCUGAGGCUCAACCUCCUCAUUUGCAAAAUGCAAGAGUGGAUGAAAUGAUAGUCAAGCCCCUUUGAAGCCUUUGCAUUCUGAUUGCUAAAGUCAGAGGUUUGAUUAUAAUAUUCAAUCUUCUUUAACUCUCAGCAAUGUACUCUCUUUUGGGGGGCUCUUAGGAAGAAAAUUCUUUUCAUUACAUAUGCAACAUAAAUCAAGAAAUCCCUACAUUAAAAUGGAGAAGUAACAGAAUGUGUAACAGCUUUUUUUCAUUAAUUCUAAUAAUCACUAAGCACCUAGAACCAGGCACUGUUCUGUCCCGUUAGAGCUUUCAUUGUUCUAGUUGAUGAGACAGAGAGUAAACAUUAUACAGAAGUAAAAUAUGCAGUAAAUAGAUGAUGGUGAGUACUAAGGACACAAAAUAGAGCGCAGAAAGUAAAUAAAAAGUGUUUUGAAUGGAUUAAAUUUUUACAUAAAAAGGCCAAAGAAGACGUCACUGAGAUGGUGAUGGCUGAGGAAAGACCUGAAGGGAUAGAAAGUGAGCCAUGCAGACAUCCAGGGAAAGAAAACUUGAGACAGAGGAAAAGGCAAGGAUAAACACCUGGGGUCAGGAACCUCCCUGGUACAUACAAUGAACAGAGAACCAUGUAGAGAUGAAAUCCUGAGGUUGAGGGGUCUUCCUUGAGGAGGCAUUCUAGUCUAAAACCAAGGGGCUGUAAACUGGUACAGCCAUUGUGGAGAAUAGUACGGAGGUUCCUUAAAAAAAUAAAAAUAGAGUUACCAUAUGACCCAAACAUCCCACUACGGGGCAUAUAUCUUGAGGAAAUCAUAACUCAAAAAGACAUAUACCCCAGUGCUUUUUGAAGCACGAUUUACAAUAGCCAAGACAUGGAAGCAACCUCAAUGUCCAACGAUAAAUGAAUUGGUGGGGAAGAUGUAGUACAUGUGCACAGUGGAAUGUUGCUCAGCCAUAAAAAGGAAGUUAAGUCAGUUGAAGUGAUGUGGAU
This 2464-nucleotide long non-coding RNA is filed under the name Bos grunniens (domestic yak). RNAcentral describes it as "lncRNA (ENSBGRG00000009865.1)". Lineage: Eukaryota; Metazoa; Chordata; Mammalia; Artiodactyla; Bovidae. The record is from RNAcentral.